Molecule: ribosomal RNA, 253 nt
Filed under: uncultured bacterium
Lineage: Bacteria
Description: partial 16S ribosomal RNA
Rfam family: Bacterial small subunit ribosomal RNA
Source: RNAcentral
UACGGAGGGUGCAAGCGUUGUCCGGAAUUAUUGGGCGUAAAGGGCUCGUAGGCGGUUCGUCACGUCGGGAGUGAAAACUCGGAGCUUAACUCCGAGCCUGCUUCCGAUACGGGCAGACUAGAGGUAGGCAGGGGAGAGCGGAACUCCUGGUGUAGCGGUGGAAUGCGCAGAUAUCAGGAAGAACACCGGUGGCGAAGGCGGCUCUCUGGGCUGGUACUGACGCUGAGGAGCGAAAGCGUGGGUAGCGAACAGG